Gopherus agassizii (Agassiz's desert tortoise) is the source of this 1609-nucleotide long non-coding RNA. The record is from Ensembl. Lineage: Eukaryota; Metazoa; Chordata; Testudines; Testudinidae.
CUUUGAAGAGGGAGCCUUGAAGGUUCCAUCAGGGUUAGAUGCAACUGAGCAUGUUGAAGGUCUUGUCAAGGAAAGCUAGGAAGAAGGUGGUCCCACCAGAUGGGGUGAAGCUGGUAGAUGUGUCGUUGCUGAGGCAGACGCAGCUCCGAUCGCUCAGUAAAUCUGACACCAAACUGCAUGAACUCCACAGGGUGAAGUGCACUUCUGAGCACCAAAGACCAGCCAGCGUGGAUUUCCUUUAUCCAUCAGGGUCUUUGGGGGAUGGAGAAGGAGCUGUGCAUAGCUCGAGCUUCAGCAUCCUGCUGCACCGAGAGCUGCCCCAGAUCCCCCAUUCCAACCCUUCGGCUGAUGCCCUGAGUCCUGACCAGACCUACUCAAACCUGUCCUUCUUAGCCCCACUAAAACCAGCCCCGGAGGCGCUGUAUGAGUGUGCGGCCAUGACUCAGGAAGAGCCUCAGCCAAUGCCUGUCUUGGGAACCCCUCUAAGUGAGGAGGACAAGGCAGUGACGGCUGAGUACGCCUGUGUCCGCAAGGUGAAGAAGAAUUUCCAGCCAGAGCUCCAGGAUGAGACACAGGGCGAAUCCUCCGUGGGGACGGCAGACCCAGAAGCCUGGGAAGGAGCUGCCUGUAACCCUGCAGCGGUGAAGGUAGAAGAAAUGUACUCGACUGUGUGCAAAGCUGGCAAGAAGAAGAAACACCAAGGCUCUGCUCUGUCCCCUUCUGAAGGAAUGGACACUAGGGAGACAGGCCAAGGAGAACAGGGGUGGCCAGCUGCCCAUCUCAGAGAUGUCAGGGCGGGGUAUCAGUCCACACCGGGUCGAGUCUUACUCACUGAGCCCUGCUAUGAGUCGAUCAGUGAUGGAUCCUGGACUGAGCAUGGCAGGAACCCAGUCCCAGAACCGGCCUACGAGGCAGUAGAUGUCAACUGGAAAAAGCCCAAGAGAAGGGAUAAGUCUACCAAGAACUGCCCUGCCGAGAACUUGUAUGAAAGCAUCAGUGAAAUGUGGGAAGGGGACUCUAGGAACACAGCUACCCUGGCGGCUCCCAAUGGGUUGGAGAUAUACGUAACAGACUGAUAACCCCUUAUGUCUAGCUGCCCCCUUCCUGGGAAGGUCUGUGCUCCUCCACUGAGACCUCCAGCUGUCUCAGGUCUCAGCCACAUGGCGAGGCACAACAAGAACAUCCAACACCACAACAGUAAAUACUAAAAACAUCAACCCGCUCUAAACCCUCCUGCCUCAGGUCUCAGGCCAGCCUGUCACUAACAGGAGUUAAACUUUCCCUGCGGGCUGGGUAUCCCAAUGCUCCUUCUGCAGAACGCCUCACACCUUCCUCUGAAGCAGCUGGUGCUGGGUGUUGUCCGAGGCAGUUCACUGGACUCGGUGGACCUAUGGUGGCCUGAACUACAGGCAAAAGAAUUGAGUAAUUCUAAUGGGUUUGGCAUUGGUUGAGGGUUGUGCCCAUUCUAGGGGGCACAGACACCCAGAUCAGGUGCCUCUCUUCCCUGAGUCUUUAUGCAGGGUCCAGUAAAGCUGGGCACAGAAACCUAGGUAAGGAAAGGGGCAGCUGAGUUAAUAAAGAGGAAUCUCCCGUAUGUAUUUUAAUCCUG